Molecule: long non-coding RNA, 2518 nt
Organism: Brassica napus (rape)
Lineage: Eukaryota; Viridiplantae; Streptophyta; Magnoliopsida; Brassicales; Brassicaceae
Exons: 9
Source: RefSeq, a predicted model, not a curated record
GUAAGAGUAGAGGGCUAGCCGCUAGGCUACGGUGGAUAUUCGUUUUUUAAAGAAAUGUGGACUUAUUUAAUCACAAAGAUAAAUAUAUCUUAUCUAGGAUACCAUUUGUGAUAUUCAGGAUGGGUUUCCAAAAAUCGAAUAUGAAAAUGAGAUUGUCAAGAUACAAGACCACUAAGCCAAGAUGUUAUAUCUCAAAAUGAGUAAGCUUUUAAAAGCAAUAUAAGCAAUUUUCUUGCUGAUUGAUAAAAAAAUUAAAAAAUGUUCUGAUUCCAUUAAGGAAAAAGUGACCAUAAAACAUGAUGUGAGUUUCAUAAUACAUAAAUAUCACUACAAUAAAAAUGUGUAUUGAUAGCACAUUGUGAUAGCUUUGUUUUUCAAACUGCUAUCAAAGAUAAAUUUUUCGAUUUUGGUAUACAUUAAUAGCAGUUAAUUAAAGCUAUCGUGAAAAAUUAGUAAGCGAGAAUAAAAAUGAUGCAUACCGCCCAUACUUAGAUGAACUUGAGAUAAAACCGUGAAAUACCAAAAUUUUCCCUCUUUACUAUGACACAUUCUCUACUUAAAGAUGCAAAAUUUAGUUUUGACAAAAAAAAAGUAGAGUCACCAAAAAAAAAAAAACUUCUCUCUCUCGACAAAUCUCACUUCUUAUCUUCUCCGAUGUAUAUCUCCCUCUCACUUUCUCCAGAUCUUACUUCUCUUCUUCAACAAUUCUCACUUCUCCUCUUCUUUCAAAAAUCGUUUUGGGGUAUUGUGUUCUCUCUGUGUUUCAAUAAAUCUAGGCUUUCUCAUUCCCUUUCUUUCCUAGGGUCUAAAACACGAGAGACAGAAGAAAAGAGAGACGAGACGAAAUGGAGAUAGAGAGGAGAGAGAGCUCCGGUCGUGUCUUGCGUCGUCUCCGAUAAUCAGAGCUUGGGUUGGGUGGGGUCUUGCUUUGUCUCCGCCGUUUUUUCCUCAGCUUCAUAGAACCGCCGUGUUCAUGUUCCGCUGCUGCUUGUACCUUUUUCAGCACUUGUCUCAAGAGAAGAGUUUGAGUCAAGCGAUAAGAGAAGGCAGAAGAUGGAGACAAGGGAAGAGACAUCCUGCCACUCGAGCUUGCAAUCUAAGAUACAUAGGAGAUGGAGACGAGGAGAAGAAUAAGAGCCGGAGAAAACAGAGGUGGAGUUUCAGAUUCAAAACGAGAGAAAACACAAGAGCAAGGAAGAAGAAGAUGAGAAUGACAAAGUGGCUGUAGGCGAGGAACUCAUGUACUUGGAGAAUCUAGAGGCGUGUGUCUGCGGGAAGUUAUGAAUAUACAAGAUCUUGAUUCUUAUAAGGAAGCUUUGUUGAUUUCUCAAGACCUGUUCGUUCAAUUGCUUUAAAGAAUCAGCUUUAUGCUGCCGUUGGUUCUCUGUUACUAACUACCAUCUUCUUCUUCUCUAGUAAGUAGUGGUCAUCUCAUUCUUCUAUGGAUAUAUUAAUCUUCAAUAGUCUUCUUGCCUUCUUGUUUGCGGUUUAGUAGUGUUUGAUUUUUUUUGGCAGUUAAAGAAGUGAAACAUAAAGUAGAAGAAGAAGGAGACAAACAUGGAGAAGUUGCUUUAGGGAAUAUUUUUCGGCAAAAAUUAUUUCACUAAGUCCUCGUGUUCAAGGGCUAGAAUCUGAGCUUAGUGUUCAUUUUGUUCUCUCAUAUGUUAGGAAGUAAGAAUGUCUGCUGCUGGUGGAAUGGCGAGUGAAGAAGUUGGCGAGGAAGUACCUUUUAUUCUAUGGUACGUCUCUGUCUUUCAAUGAUUAAAUCAAGAGUUUAUGUUAAUUGAACAUGUUAAGGACUACUUUCAGAGCAGCAGCAAAGUCAGAAACUUCAAAGUGAUGGCUCUCCAAUCUGAUAACAUCACAAUCAAUAGAGUUGAGAGUCUUCUCAAAAGACACCAAACCUUUUACUGACCGGAUCACCGCUGAGUACAUCUGUACAUGACGAGCACCUGGAGAAGAUACUGAAGUGAUUCUCUAGUAAGACUUCUCUCAAGUGUUGGUACUAAAUGAAGCUUAGAAGCUCUCACGAGAAGCACACUUGCCGUCUCAUCUUAUGCUGUAACAGUUCUGACAGUCCCUCAGCAAGAUGACCAGGCAGAUGCAUACACCAACGAAGUUUAUGUAUUGUGGCAUGAUCUCAGCAGUGGUAGGCGGUUUAAUAUGUAUAACGCUUAUACAACCGUAGACGAGAAAGCUCUAACUGCAUAAAACCUUAAGGCACAUUUCUGAAAUGUUCUUAUAUUCCUUAACUUAUAUGUUCUAAAGAAGAAGUUCUUGGAACACCAACUCUGGAGGUUAUCAAGGUGCAUCCCCCUACGCUCUGUGUGAGAUACAGGCUAAGGCCAAGAAGAAAAUAGGAGCAAGGUUUUGAUUUAGUUCCCAUGUUUUCUAGUCCCUUUAUAUUAGUUCUGAUUUUAUAAUGAUGUUUGUGUAAGAUUUGAUGAAAAUGUAGACAUGUUUGUGGUAUUGAUGUAAGUACAUUUUGGUUUAUUAAUGAAAUAUAAAUUGAAUAUUA